GACGAACGCUGGCGGCGCGCUUAACACAUGCAAGUCGAGCGAUGAAAUUUCGACAGAUCCCUUCGGGGUGAAGAUGAAAUGGAUUAGCGGCGGACGGGUGAGUAACACGUGAGUAACCUGCCUUUGACAUUGGGAUAGCAUCGGGAAACUGGGAUUAAUACCAAAUGACACUAACUGAUCACAUGAUCAAUUAGUCAAAGAAAUUCGGUCAAAGAUGGACUCGCGGCUGAUUAGCUAGUUGGUGAGGUAACGGCCCACCAAGGCGACGAUCAGUAGCCGGCCUGGGAGGGUGAUCGGCCACAUUGGAACUGAGACACGGUCCAAACUCCUACGGGAGGCAGCAGUGGGGAAUAUUGCACAAUGGGGGAAACCCUGAUGCAGCGACGCCGCGUGAGCGAAGAAGGCCUUCGGGUCGUAAAGCUCUUUUAUGAGGGAAGAUAAUGACGGUACCUCAAGAAAAAGCCCCGGCUAACUACGUG
Molecule: ribosomal RNA, 479 nt
Filed under: uncultured bacterium
Lineage: Bacteria
Description: partial 16S ribosomal RNA
Rfam family: Bacterial small subunit ribosomal RNA
Source: RNAcentral